This 702-nucleotide ribosomal RNA is filed under the name Callitriche japonica. Its description in RNAcentral is "eukaryotic LSU rRNA". The stretch from base 294 to 449 matches the Rfam family "5.8S ribosomal RNA". The record is from RNAcentral. Lineage: Eukaryota; Viridiplantae; Streptophyta; Magnoliopsida; Lamiales; Plantaginaceae.
AAGUAAAAGUCGUAACAAGGUUUCCGUAGGUGAACCUGCGGAAGGAUCAUUGUCGAAACCUUCAAAGUAGACCCGCGAACAUGUUUUUAACUUAUUGGGGACUGUGGCUUGCUGGACAAGAUGCUUGCGUCGACCGCAAGUCAUUGUCCCUCGCCCGCGAGACGCUUGCGUCAACCGGGAUAACGAACCCCGGCGCAAAACGCGCCAAGGAAAACUAAAUGAAGUGUCACUCCCACCCGAAUGUCCGUUCGCGGAGCCAUUUGGUUGGUUGGGGCAUCUCUCUAUGUCAAAACGACUCUCGGCAACGGAUAUCUCGGCUCUCGCAUCGAUGAAGAACGUAGCAAAAUGCGAUACUUGGUGUGAAUUGCAGAAUCCCGUGAAUCAUCGAGUCUUUGAACGCAAGUUGCGCCCGAAGCCUUUAGGCCGAGGGCACGCCUGCGUGGGCGUCACGCAUCGCGUCGCCCCCCUCACAAUCCCUUGGGAUGUGGAUGGGGGCGGAGAUUGGCAUCCCGUGUGUCUUUCCAUGCGGCUUGUCCAAAUGAGAUGUUGCAUCUACGGAUGUCACAACUAUUGUUGGUUGAACACUCAGCUCUCGAUGUUGUGCUGGAACCCGUUGGUUGCUCUUGCAUCUUUUGACCCAAUGGCGCAAAUUGUGCCUACGACCGCGACCCCACGUCAGGCGGGACUACCCGCUGAGUUUAA